GCAUGGGUUUUAUAUUAAAGAAAUUCGGUAUGAGAUGGGGAUGCGUUCCAUUAGUUUGUUGGGGGGGUAACGGCCCACCAAGACUACGAUGGAUAGGGGUUCUGAGAGGAAGGUCCCCCACAUUGGAACUGAGACACGGUCCAAACUCCUACGGGAGGCAGCAGUGAGGAAUAUUGGUCAAUGGACGCGAGUCUGAACCAGCCAAGUAGCGUGAAGGAUGACUGCCCUAUGGGUUGUAAACUUCUUUUAUAUGGGAAUAAAGUUGUCCACGUGUGGAUUUUUGUAUGUACCAUAUGAAUAAGGAUCGGCUAACUCCGUGCCAGCAGCCGCGGUAAUACGGAGGAUCCGAGCGUUAUCCGGAUUUAUUGGGUUUAAAGGGAGCGUAGGCGGAUUGUUAAGUCAGUUGUGAAAGUUUGCGGCUCAACCGUAAAAUUGCAGUUGAUACUGGCAGUCUUGAGUGCAGUAGAGGUGGGCGGAAUUCGUGGUGUAGCGGUGAAAUGCUUAGAUAUCACGAAGAACUCCGAUUGCGGAGGCAGCUCACUGGAGUGUAACUGACGCUGAUGCUCGAAAGUGUGGGUAUCAAACAGGAUUAGAUACCCUGGUAGUCCACACAGUAAACGAUGAAUACUCGCUGUUUGCGAUAUACAGUAAGCGGCC
RNAcentral lists this ribosomal RNA (657 nucleotides) under uncultured bacterium. RNAcentral describes it as "bacterial SSU rRNA". It matches the Rfam family "Bacterial small subunit ribosomal RNA", at positions 188 to 848 of the family's 1533-position model. The record is from RNAcentral.